Molecule: ribosomal RNA, 497 nt
Filed under: uncultured bacterium
Lineage: Bacteria
Description: partial 16S ribosomal RNA
Rfam family: Bacterial small subunit ribosomal RNA
Source: RNAcentral
GAUGAACGCUGGCGGCGUGCCUAAUACAUGCAAGUCGAGCGAACAGACGAGGAGCUUGCUCCUCUGACGUUAGCGGCGGACGGGUGAGUAACACGUGGAUAACCUACCUAUAAGACUGGGAUAACUUCGGGAAACCGGAGCUAAUACCGGAUAACAUGUUGAACCGCAUGGUUUAACAGUGAAAGACGGUCUUGCUGUCACUUAUAGAUGGAUCCGCGCCGCAUUAGCUAGUUGGUAAGGUAACGGCUUACCAAGGCAACGAUGCGUAGCCGACCUGAGAGGGUGAUCGGCCACACUGGAACUGAGACACGGUCCAGACUCCUACGGGAGGCAGCAGUAGGGAAUCUUCCGCAAUGGGCGAAAGCCUGACGGAGCAACGCUGCGUGAGUGAAGAAGGUCUUCGGAUCGUAAAACUCUGUUAUUAGGGAAGAACAAAUGUGUAAGUAACUAUGCACGUCUUGACGGUACCUAAUCAGAAAGCCACGGCUAACUACGUG